AAGUCGUAACAAGGUCUCCGUAGGUGAACCUGCGGAGGGAUCAUUAACACGUUUCACAACGUUUAAACUUUUCACAUCAACCGCGCGAUAUAAUUGAAUCAAAAACAACCGACCAGGAGAUCAGAGAAUUCUAUUUAGAAUGCACGGAGUGAUGAGUGUAUAUAUGAGCUUGCUUGUAUCUACACGGUGUAUCUAGAUUGGUAUUGCUAUCUUCACUGUAUGCGCAAGUGUGCAGUGAGGCCAGACUCUACAAGACCUCUUUUCUCCAGGCUUUUAACCAUAGUUCCCUUCAUCGCUGGAGCGCAAACACCCCUUUCACCACUUAUAACCACUUGACUGAUAUGUUCUCAGCAUGGCGAAAGCCGCGUAUGAAACAACAACUAAUCAAAUAUCUAAGCACAACUCUUAGCAACGGAUAUCUUGGUUCUC
This 429-nucleotide unclassified non-coding RNA is filed under the name fungal sp. RNAcentral's name for it is "partial internal transcribed spacer region". The stretch from base 1 to 46 matches the Rfam family "Eukaryotic small subunit ribosomal RNA", at positions 1786 to 1831 of the family's 1831-position model. RNAcentral also lists the same sequence under 1 other name. Lineage: Eukaryota; Fungi. The record is from RNAcentral.